AUGAUGGGAUUUUCGGGUCUCCAGCUAAGAUGCUUAAUAUUAACAGGCCUUUUUAUGUCUGGAGAAAUACACUCAUCUCCAGUGUCUGUAAGUCCUUACUUCGCAGACAACGCAAGAGGGAGCUCAGAAGAGGUGGUGCUAACACAAGGAAUGUCUCUCAGAAUAACUGCUUUCUGUGCCUAUCAAUAUUUACAAGGAGACAAGAUAUGGUGCAAAGAAACAGAGCAGAAGGAAUGCGAUCUUAACAAAUCUUUCAGCCUUUCAGAAUGGAAGUUUCUAUCUACUAUACCCAACCAAAAGAUCACAUUGGAGAGUCCAAGAAAUGGAUGCCUUUCUCUGUUCAUGACUGCUCUUGAAGUAGAAGAUUCAGGGACAUACUGGUUUGGACUUCUUGAUGGCUUGAAGAUGAUCUCUUCGAAGAAAAUUAAAGUGGUGGUUCAUGAAAAUCCUCUGGUGCCUACAAUGAUAUUCUCACCUCCAACCUCUAUGACUCCUUCCUCUGAAAGUCCUAACAAGUCAGGAAGGAGAUUACAAGAAGUGAUCAAGGUGCAAGGAGAAUCCCUCAUCAUGAAAGCUUUCUGUUCCCAACAACAUCAAUCAAAGAAGAUCUGGUGCAAAGGAGAUAUACUAAAGGAAUGUGAUCUUGACAAACCCGUAGGCAUCUCAGCAACAGGAUGGCAAUAUCUGACUCCUAAACCAAACCAAAAAGUUAUAUUAUUGGAUUCAGGAAAUGGCUGCAGUUAUUUUUUCAUAUCUGAUCUUCACAUGGACGAUUCAGGGAUAUAUUGGUUUGGGAUACUUGAGGAUCUGAAUAUUAUCCCUUUAAGAAAAUUCAAAGUGAUCGUUCAAAAGAGACAGAAAAAUAAUGGCAUUGUGGCAGUAACAAGUGAAGAUUAUCAAAGGCCAGAACCAAGCGUGACAAUUCCCAUCUCUUCUGAACCACAAGUUUACCAAGUUAUCUUGGUUCUGGGCUCCAUUGUGGUUGGCAUAACAAUUAUUGCAGCUCUCAUAUUAGUUGUCACGAUGCUCCUCAAAAGGAAAAUGAGAGCAGCUGAGGAGCUGAAUUUUGGUGAUGACCCAAACUGUAGAGUAAUAACAUUACAGAUCCAUGACGUCCAAGCUGCCAGACACUCUUCAAGCAAAGAAAUUAAUGCAAUAUAUGCCAUACCAAACAAGCCCAAAACAAGGAUAGAAGACGUCACAUAUGUCAACACAAAAUUUCCACAGAGGUCAAACAUCAUCAAACAUCACAGUGAACCACAUUGUGUGCUUCCAUCUCCUGGAUCUGUAGAGUAUGCAAACAUCAUAUUUGGAUCUAGAAUUCCACAUAUCAGGGACUAAAGACAGAGUGAAUCCUCUUUUAUAAAUUCCAGGGCUUAUUUGCUGAAAUGUGUGAG
RNAcentral lists this long non-coding RNA (1397 nucleotides) under Anolis carolinensis (green anole). RNAcentral's name for it is "lncRNA (ENSACAG00000035175.1)". The record is from RNAcentral. Lineage: Eukaryota; Metazoa; Chordata; Lepidosauria; Squamata; Anolidae.